UAAUAUCUCAUCCAAAAUGGGUUCGAUUUGAAUCCAAUUCGAAGCUGGUUCGAAAUAAUUUUGAAAGGCUGUCAAUCCUAAAUUUUUUAGGACCUUUGUACCAAGUCUAACUUAAAAUUUUAAAUCUAAUUAAGUCUAAUUAACUCAAAUCUAAUCUAAAAUUAAUUAAUACUUAAAUUUAAUAUCUCAUAUGCUCCAUGGAUUAUUGAUCAGAAACUAUUCAUCCCC
This 228-nucleotide long non-coding RNA is filed under the name Elaeis guineensis (African oil palm). RNAcentral describes it as "long non-coding RNA (EGUI_LNC042682)". The record is from RNAcentral. Lineage: Eukaryota; Viridiplantae; Streptophyta; Magnoliopsida; Arecales; Arecaceae.